RNAcentral lists this long non-coding RNA (6714 nucleotides) under Paramuricea clavata. The record is from RNAcentral. Lineage: Eukaryota; Metazoa; Cnidaria; Anthozoa; Malacalcyonacea; Plexauridae.
GUUAGUUAGUUAGUUAGUUAGUUAGUUAGUUAGUUAGUUAGUUAGUUAGUUAGUUAGUUAGUUAGUUAGUUAGUUAGUUAGUUAGUUAGUGAAUUAGUUAGUUAGUGAAUUAGUUAGUUAGUUAGUUAGAUAGUUAUGGUCAGUUAGUUUGUUCGUUAAUUAGUUAGUGAACUAAUUAGCUAGCCAGUUAGUGCAAAUGUGGUAAGUGGGACGGAAAUCUUCUCUGUUCUUUUUGUUUUUUCACAGGAUUUUAAUUCUAUUGUGUCUUGAUACACAGAUUACGGCAAAAACUAUAAAAGGUAUGUGAGGUUUUAUAUUAGAUUUUACUCUUAUUCAAAUGUAUCACCAUAGAAUAUAUAUAUAAUACCUAUGAACGGUUUCAUAAUUUUGAUGCACCCAAAAUCUUGACUUUUUUUCAGAAAGUCAUUAUGCCAUGUGACGUCACAUGCAGUGAAAAAAAUUUGCACAUCCAAAAUUGUUAAAUAUCUCAAAACGAAGUAAGCUAAGAAAGUUUGCCAAAGUAUCUUACUUGCUCAUUUUUAAUUUUCUUCGUAAUCGUAAAAAAUGGUGUGAAAUUUUUUAACAGUGGAAUCGUGAAAAAUCUAGUGAAAAUUCGUUCAAUAUGCUAUAUACUUUAGGGGCUGAGGUUUCCUGAGGACUCCAAACACACAUAUACGCGGUUCGAGUAGUAUUAUAAUUAUUCCAAUAACAUACGGAGUGUAUAUUAUUAUAUUAAUAGCUCUAUUUCAUGGCGACGCCGAGAACUCACUGACUGUUACAUAAUAUCAAGAAUUGUGUAUAAUUACAACGCGUCCCCAUCUGCUAAGAGUAGCAACGAUUAAUAGUUUAAUUUAAAAAUGGCCAUAUCUUGUUUGGAAGAUUAUACUAAUAAUUUGUUAUGACUCUGCGGUCGUCUGAACCGUGGUCUGAAUCAACGGAAGCGUCAACGUUUGUGACUGCGUCAAAACUAUUCAGGGCUUUCAAGUUCCAAACUGCCGUCGGACUAUGUCUAUAGAUUCAUCUCGCUUUUUCACCAAUUUCACGGUCUGCGGCUAUUAGUACGCCUGUUUUCAUUGACUUUGGAAUAUUUCGUGCGAUGUUCUCAACAAUUUUGUCAAAGUUUGCAUAGCAAGUUUUCCUCGCAUUUCAAUCGUUUGAAAUUGAAUUAAGACCGCGACGAUCAAGCCUUGCAGCUUUUCAUGAGAUGGAAGCCUUUGCCGUGCAUAUAUAUAUAUAUAUAUAUAGUCCGCUGUGAUAAAUUUUCUCGCGUGUACAAUAUUUAUAUUGCGCCUGACGUGAAUUUUCAAGAGCGUCAUGUUAGGUGUAAUAUUGUCAGACGACACAAGCAGAGAUACUUAUCAUACGGUCGACAGUUUUUUGACAAGUAAGUCUCGUUUGUAAAAGCUAUAGUGAAGCAAGCUUAAUUUGGACAAGAUAAACACGGCGAACUUCAGUUUAUUGUACACAUAUCAUAUGCACGUGAAAUUGUAAAAGCAAACUUGUUAGAGUUUAGUGACGCCACUGUGAUCGCAGGAACUUUUGAACCAGCCAUAAACCGGCAUCUAUGUUAAUUAACAUCAUAUCACAUAUGUGAUAUGACAUCCUAAUUUCCAAAAGAUGGAAAUUCCACUAUUUGCCAGAAUGAUUCUCAGAAAAUAUACUUGUACACUUGCAAGUCCGAAUAAUAAACUUAAUUUCUCAAUUGACUGGUUAGUGGUUUAAUUCACUCUUUCGCAAAGACUGAAAACACUGAAAUUUUAAGCCGUUUGUGAAGUCAAAAAGUGUAGUAAGAAAUUGCAAGAAUAUAAAUGUCUGCAUUGCCUUGUAAAUGCCCAGUGGAAAGCCAUCUCAAUUUCCAAAGAACUCUAUUAUAGGACAGAAAUUGUCCAGGGUAUCUUACUCACAUGUCUACAUUAAUAUUUUUGCAUGUACUGUAGAAAGCUAUCUCAAUUUCAAAUACGAAAGCUGUUGUAGGCCUACACAAGACAAUAUAAUGUUGCUUGUCGUUUUGUACAUGUGUAAACAAAGAUUCAUUCCAAACAAAUUAGACUGUCUGCUGUAGGAUGUUUGACGAGCCGAAAUUUCCGCCAAAUUAUUUAACGAAAGCGUCAGGCUUUAAAACGCUCUUAAAAUCACUUAUAGCAGCGCCGUAUAUUGCUAAUAUUUAGUUAACAAGCGCGUAUAUAUCAAGGUACCAGUUUCUGAUUGGUCGCUGCCUCGCGUUGCUGGUCACGUGGUGAAACAUCUUCCUGCCACCUGUCGCAAGCAUGGUGUGUUGCCAGGCAACGGGAAGUCGGACAAUCUAACAUCUGCCAUGCACCUGUGGCUUCCCAGCGCUUCGAGCAUAUCGUUAAUAUAACCUUGAUUCUAAUGAUAAAUACGCUCUCUGAUCUUAUUACGAAAUGACUGCAAUAUUACGACCCGACUGUCAAAAUAAUAUUUGGCGUAAACUUUUAGUAUACUAUUUUUAAAACUUAUGCAAGUCGGCAGGUGAAUUUCGAGAGAGAAAAUUCGCGCAUUUUACAUCACAAAAACUCAAUCAGGAGUUUAAUAGCUCCUUGCUCAUGGAUGUAAAUAUUAAAAUAAAACAAAUUUUUAAAAAAGUGCAUCUUGAAAGGUUCACUGCAGUGCAUGUCAAAAUUUAUCACGUCGUGGUAUGUGACUAUUUCAAAGUCUUUACACGAAAUGACUGUAUAGACUAAAUAUAUCUGAGCUUGAAGUUUAAUGAUUCAGUAUUAAGGAACUAUAAAAGUAAUUAUACUCGAUAAUUCUUGGUUGCAAACAGUUUUGUCUAGAUUCAUGUCCAGUAGUUCAUCGUCUGGUUAACACUAUCAAAGUUUCUGUGAUCACAGUAGGAAUUUUGCAUAGGUAAAUUCUAAGUUUUGAAGGAUUUGUAAGAAAUGUUUGAAAGAACUGACCUAGUGUUUCACACUGAGUGAGUUAGCUAGUUCCAAUCAAAACAUCUCAAACAAAACCUUUAAACAUUUACCGAUGCAAAAUUUCCUACUGUGGUCACAAAAACUUGGAUAGGGUAUAAACCAACCUUUACAACAGGAGGAAAUUGGGGUACAUAAAGAGAAGCUGUGGUUUUUGAAGGGACAAAUUGGAAACAUUCUUCUCACUGGACGCUGAGGCAAAUGUCACUGACAUAUCACAGACACAAAAACUCAUAUUAACUAAUGUUUCGCCCUAUAGUACUUUCAUCGGCCUAUAGCUAGUUAAAUAAUGUAGGUGCAUGUUGAACAGAACAAACUGAUAGCGAGGUCGUCUUCCUAAGGAGACAGAUUUUUACCAUAUAGUAGUAAACAUUUUAUUUAAACAUGCUGACCAUAUCAACUUAAAGCUGCUUUCCACAAGGGGCGUGCAAAAAAUAUUAAACUGAAACUAGUAGAAGUAAGCAAUUUACAGGGAUUUAGAAAAGAACUAAGCUAUACAUUGUAUAUUGAUCUAUUAACAACAUAGGUUAUUGUAAUGUUACGUCAAAGGUGUGAGUAGCAAUUUAUUUUUGAAACAAGAGAGGGAUUUGGUUCCUUACACGGAUGCUCCAUCAAACGUAUCUGUUUCCAGUCACCGAUUAAAAUUAGUCACCUGCAGUGGACUGAAAAAUUAUAAAUUUCCCUUAAAGCUAGGUUACGGUUUUCAAAUGGACUUGAAUGAAGAGAAAGACAAAUGAUGUAACUACACAUGCAGUGAUGUAACUUUAGGGCCUCGUAUAAAUUCAUUAAUGAUGAUGUUCAAUGAGUCAGGAUUUUGCAAUGAUUUUCAAAUCUCACAUAGCAAAACAGUAUGAAUAUUUAAUCACUUGCAGCAGGUUUCCGCUGGUCGAAGUCCGUCGAUCGAAAGAUCAAGACAAACAAACCACCCUGAAUCGGAAUACCGUAUAAUGACUAAUGUAUAUACGCGUCUUAUGCAAUACUUGAAAAAUCUAGUGCAAGUUAAGAAGAAUAGGUUAUGCAAAGCAAACUUUUAGCAAUUUUCCUAACUUUUAUAAUAACGCUUGCUGAAGUCAGGAUUUUGGCUUUUGUUUGAUUUAAUAGGGUCAUUGAUUUUUAGAUUAAUGUCCUGUAAUGGUUAUGUUUAUACCCGCACUUGUUUUGUCGCGAGAUAUGUAGUCUGCACGCAAUGAUAACAUGAUCAGUGAAUAUAGCAAUGCCAUAGUUGAAAUCAUCAGCUUUUCUAUAUAAUGAAUAUCCAGGUCAAAACUUGUCAAAAUCUUAUCCAGGUCAAAACUUUUACGUAUUAGAUCAGUGUUAUGUUAUAUAAGUUAGUACUAAAAAUUGCACUGAAUAUUAGAAGUUGCUUGCUUUAGAGGAUUUAUAAGAAAUGUUUGUGGGAAUCGACUCCUUGAACCGGGUUUUGUGCUCUUUCGAUUCAGACUGGACUGCAUUUGUACAAUUGUACCCAAGGAUAAUCUGCGUUAUCGAUGUUACGACAGCAUUUAAUUAGUUUAUGUGUAAUUUUGCGCAGAAUUAAAUAAAUGGUUGGUAAUACUGCAAAUCUGCAAAUAGAAGUUCGAUGUUCUCCUUCUGAUGCCUGUGAACGAGUAGAUAACGGUUAUGAGUACAUGCACAGGUUAUUUCGCUGGCCUCAGAGUGACAAAACGUAACAACUAACAAGGCAACGGUUUUACUAACAGAACCCUAUUCCAAACACCAACCCUAACCUAACCCUACUCCAAGUUUGUUUCUAAACCAAUCUUGAAGAAAAAAGUUUUGACGAAAUGUCAUUUUGAGGUCAGCAAAAUAACUUCUUCCUAUACAUGUACUCUCAUCUGAACAUUCAUAGCUUACCCACUCGUUUAGAUCCACCAGAAGAAGGAAAUCGCAUAGCCCAGUUGGCUAGGGCGCCGGGCCGCAGGUUCGAGGGCCUAUAGAUUCGUAACUGCUCCUGACUAGGCCUAAAAAUCUAUAUAGGUUUGCGUUCGUAAAUUUCAACUCCAAAAAUUAUGAAACUGUUUGGAAAUUACUGGACAGGAAAUUGUUGCCAAAAUUUCAAACAGACAAGAUUUGAAUCCUAUUCGGAAUCUGUUUCGUUGUAUAUUUUAUUAAAAGUCUUGUUUAUUGUGAAUUAGUUUGAUGACGACAAAUGUUUAAAGUUUAAACUAGCCAACAUCAAUACAUGGCUAUGAUUUCAUCAGAUUGCGAUUCGUGACAUAUCGUAUACCUGCCAAAAUCAAUUCAUGUUGUUGACUUAGCUGUAUAUAAUAUAUUCAUUUGCUUUUCAUCUCCUAAUCGAUUUGUCAUCUAUUUACAGGUUUGCGAGGGAUACCACCAGUUAGCCUGCAAACAACAACUCCUUUAUGAAUUCCAUCCGAUGGAGGUCAGUUUGGAUAUAAAUCUUUUUCUGGCUUUUGCCCACCCAAGUAAAAUAAUUAAGACCAUUUAACGAUGUGUGUGUUUCGCCAAAUUCUAUAAUUAAGAGCGUUUAGCCUGCAUGGCUGGAUAUGGCGGCGAUUGAAAAAAAUUUACAUGAUUGAAGAAUUAAAAUGUCACGCAAAAGAUAAGAUGUAUAUAAUAAUAGUUUCUAUUUUGAAAUAACGUUUAACAUCGGUACAAAAAGGACUUUUCUUUUCGACUUUCGCCAUAUUUUUAGCAUAACAUUAUAAUUACACAUUAAAAACAUUUCGAUCCAAUAAUAGACUUUGCCUGUUUAUUGAGCUUUUGAACCCCAAUGACCUCGUUUUCAUGCGUGCCUGUUUUUAACAUCACAGACGCACAUGAAGUUUAUAUCGUAAUGUUUCGUGAACGAAUAUAUGUUUCUCUUUGAUCUUGAGCCCAAUCACAAACCUAACUGUUCCUCUGUUCAUCUUAUGCGCCUUUCAUUCUUUUACCUCUAAAUUCGUGGGUUCAUUUCUCGCUACGGACUCAUGACUCAUGUGAAACGAGUCAGUCAACGCUCUGCCGAAAGUCGUGGGUUCUCUCCGGGCGCUCCGGUUUCCUACCCACUUGCAGGGCAAGUUGGCGGGGUUGGGUUAGGAUAAACCCAGUUAGGAAAGUAAUAUCUCAAAUGUUGUUAAGUUAAAUAAUCUAGACUCUAGGCUAAGUAAGUAACAUAAGCGUAAUAUACUUGGAUGUAAUCAGUCGCCGAAAAUCCCCAAUGGGGAGUGAGCUGAUGUAAUGUAAUGGGUUGCAUGCAUGGUAUUAUUGGUUCUCUUAAAAGCAAGAAGGAUUCAGAUUGAUAAGGUCUGCAACUACCUGAAAAAUACAAGGAGAACUUCGACGUUUCGAGUGACUGAGGCCCUUCGUUUCAUGCGAAGGCCUAAUUUCACGACUAACGCCUGUAUUCUAAAAUCUUACACCAAAGAGUGGAGGUUCAAUCUGAGCUUCCCUUGAGUGUCAAUGCUGUUUUUGAAUAGCUGAAGGGUUCAGUGUCGUACAUCACUAUGUGACUACUCACCCUCCAGCUAUUCAAAAACAGCAUUGACACUCAAGAAAAGCUCAGAUUGAACCUCCACUCAUUGAGUGUGAGUGAACUUUUAGAAUACAGGCAAAAGGGCCUUCGGUCGAAAUGUGGAAAUUCUCCUUGUAUUCCCAUCAAUCAGAAGCUUUCCUAUUAUUGCCACCACCUUCAUUGGCACAAACCUUCUUCUUAAAACUAUACCCUGACCCUGUACUGACUAGAAAUGUUUCCUUCACAGCAAAAAUUGAUAUACAAGGAAUACAAGAUAGCAAUAAAACACAAAUCGGAUUAACUUGCCAAGGAACCCGUCAAGGU